Brachypodium distachyon (stiff brome) is the source of this 127-nucleotide non-coding RNA. NCBI's taxonomy places the organism in Eukaryota, Viridiplantae, Streptophyta, Magnoliopsida, Poales, Poaceae. The record is from Rfam.
GAAGUACUCCCUCUGUCCCAUAUUAAGUGACUCAAAUUUUGUCUAAAAAUGGACGUAUCUACAUACUAAAACACGUCUAGAUACAUGUAAUAUUUCGGCACUUAAUAUGGGACGGAGGGAGUAGUUU